AAGUCGUAACAAGGUUUCCGUAGGUGAACCUGCGGAAGGAUCAUUACAGAGUUCAUGCCCUUCGGGGUAGAUCUCCCACCCUUGAAUAUUAUACCUUAGUUGCUUUGGCAGGCCGGGCAACCCCCCGGGCUCAGGCCUGGGAGUGCCUGCCAGAGGAAAACAAACUCUGUUUUUAGUGAUGUCUGAGUACUAUAUAAUAGUUAAAA
RNAcentral lists this unclassified non-coding RNA (206 nucleotides) under plant metagenome. RNAcentral's name for it is "partial contains small subunit ribosomal RNA and internal transcribed spacer 1". The stretch from base 1 to 46 matches the Rfam family "Eukaryotic small subunit ribosomal RNA", at positions 1786 to 1831 of the family's 1831-position model. The record is from RNAcentral.